UCGCUGAGCUCGGCGAGCUGCGGGAGCGCCGGCGCUGCCGCAGGCGGCGGAGCGGGCGGCCCUGAGGAUGCCACGCUGCGUUCGACACCGAGCUCGGUGAG
RNAcentral lists this transfer RNA (101 nucleotides) under Brevibacterium casei. RNAcentral describes it as "tRNA-Cys(gca)". Lineage: Bacteria; Bacillati; Actinomycetota; Actinomycetes; Micrococcales; Brevibacteriaceae. The record is from RNAcentral.